Molecule: long non-coding RNA, 396 nt
Organism: Cyanistes caeruleus (blue tit)
Lineage: Eukaryota; Metazoa; Chordata; Aves; Passeriformes; Paridae
Source: RefSeq, a predicted model, not a curated record
UAACGCAUUGUCUGAGGAAGCAUUUACAGGUAGCGAAGGAGUCAGAUGUCACUGGAACAUGUUGCUUCUUAUUUCUGUGGUGAGGCUGAGCGAAAGGAAGUAAUCCAUGAAAGACACCCAGCACUGUGACACAGAAGCUUCAUGGUCAAGAAAAUGUGACUCCUUCUCAUCCUAAAAGAAGAUAAAAUCACCUGCAUUGAGGGAAGUCCUGUGAUUCUGCAUCUGUAAGCCAUAUUAUCCAUAUUGACUGCCUGCACUGAUUACAGACACUGAUGCAACUCCAGUGAAAUGGGACAUCCUUCUCAAUGAUAAAGAAUUUUUUUAGACCAAGCUUUUUGAACACCCAUAUGUUGUCUGAGUAUUGAAAGCUUUGGAUGAGGUCAAUGGGUUUACAAA